UACGUAGGGAGCAAGCGUUGUCCGGAAUGAUUGGGCGUAAAGGGCGCGUAGGCGGCCGGAUAAGUCUGGAGUGAAAGUCCUGUUUUUAAGAUGGGAAUUGCUUUGGAUACUGUCUGGCUUGAGUGCAGGAGAGGUAAGUGGAAUUCCCAGUGUAGCGGUGAAAUGCGUAGAGAUUGGGAGGAACACCAGUGGCGAAGGCUACUUACUGGACUGUAACUGACGCUGAGGCGCGAAAGUGUGGGGGGCAAAU
This 250-nucleotide ribosomal RNA is filed under the name uncultured prokaryote. RNAcentral describes it as "partial 16S ribosomal RNA". It matches the Rfam family "Bacterial small subunit ribosomal RNA", at positions 524 to 773 of the family's 1533-position model. The record is from RNAcentral.